UGAUACACGGACCAAGGAGUUUGACAUGUGCGCGAGUCACUGGGUCGCAAAACCCAAAGGCGCAAUGAAAGUAAAUUCCAGUUUGGCUGGAUGACAUGGGACCCUCUGCCCCCGAGGUGGGGGAGCACCAUGGUCCCGUCCUUUCUGCAUUGUCAUAUGGGCGGAGAUAGAGCGUACACGUUGGGACCCGAAAGAUGGUGAACUAUGCCUGAGCAGGAUGAAGCCAGAGGAAACUCUGGUGGAGGUCCAUAGCGAUUCUGACGUGCAAAUCGAUCGUCGGACUUGGGUAUAGGGGCGAAAGAAAAUCUAACCAUCUAGU
This 319-nucleotide ribosomal RNA is filed under the name Desmodora sp. MKL1. RNAcentral describes it as "eukaryotic LSU rRNA". It matches the Rfam family "Eukaryotic large subunit ribosomal RNA", at positions 655 to 948 of the family's 3401-position model. Lineage: Eukaryota; Metazoa; Nematoda; Chromadorea; Desmodorida; Desmodoridae. The record is from RNAcentral.